This is a long non-coding RNA of Beta vulgaris subsp. vulgaris (sugar beet), 2060 nucleotides long. RefSeq lists it as uncharacterized. The transcript is spliced from 3 exons. Lineage: Eukaryota; Viridiplantae; Streptophyta; Magnoliopsida; Caryophyllales; Amaranthaceae. The record is from RefSeq and is a predicted model, not a curated record.
AUGAUAUCAUCAACAAAAAUCGCGACCCACAUUAUUUCCAACCCUAUCUCUAACUUCUUAUCUAAUUUUUUCUCUCUCACCAUUCUGCUUAUGUUUUCGUCGGCGGCAUUCUUACGAUUUCACUGAACGCGAUCUUCUUGCUGUCUUUGCUCAAUAUGGCGAAAUGGUGGAUGUUAAUCUUGUUAGAGAUAAGGCCACUGGAAAGUCCAAAGGUUUUGCAUUUGUGGCACAACUCUAGCCCGCAUUCUCUGAUUUGAAGCAGGUUCGAUCGAUUUCUGAGCCAAUCACCGUCGCAUGUUUUCGUUUUAGGAAGUAUGAUAGAUAGAUACUCUUGUUUGUCCAGCUCAGGAUGCACUCUUCCGGGUGCAUGACAGAGUGAUUGCUGAAGAUGCAGGUGCUGAUGAUGAGCCAGAUGGAAAUCAACAUGUUACUGCUCGGUUGCUUGUUCCCUCUGAUCAGAUUGGGUGUAUUAUUGGGAAAGGUGGUCAGAUUGUUCAAAGCAUCCGCAGUGAAACUGGUGCUCAGAUUCGGAUUCUGAAAGAUGAUCAUCUGCCCACAUGUGCGUUGUGCACAGAUGAACUUUUGUAGGUAAUGCUGAAAUGUUUUAUUUAGUUGACUGCUGUAGUAGAGAUGUUACCGUCAUAGUUAUCAUGUCCGGGUUAUAUAUUGUCCACAUUUGUGUUUGCAAGCAAAAUAGCUCAGGUAAUGUUUCCUUUUACAAUGAUUGUCCUCUUUCACUUAUCUUUUUGUGCAUGAGAAUGGCUAAAUUUUAGUCAGCGAAAUUUUGAAAGCAUGAGAUUGUGGGGGCAUUCUAGGAGCUUCACUUGGAACUGCUCUUUAUGCUGAGUUCAAUUUUAUUUAGUCGCGAAGAGAUUUCUUUUUGUAAGGUUCUGGGGCCUUCUUUUACACAAUUACAUCAUUUUGUUGUUUGAGUUGAUGAUGUAAGGUUCUAGGGCCUUCUUUUACACAAUUACAUCAUUUUGGUGUUUGACAAUCAACUGGAACACAAUGUGGAAAUUAUGGUAAGUAUGCAGGUUUAUUGAUGUUGUAAAUUGUCAUUAGUGCAAUUGUUGAGUUGACCAAGUAUGACUUUUCAGGGGCUAACGGUUAUAUAGUUGCUUCGGUUCCUUCUAAUUACAUUUAGUUGCUAUAAUUACAUUCGAGAGUUAAGGAUUCUCCCAGAGUAACUGCUAUAAUUAUAUUGCUGCCUUCUAAUUACAUUUAGUUGCUUUUUAUAGACUUAGAGCUACUUCUUAAGCAAGUAAGAUAACAGAUUUGUUUCCCACUAAAUGUCUAGCAAUAUUCUAGCUGACACAAGUAACAGAAAGUUAGGAGAGUAAUCUAGGUGGCAGCAUUUCCUUUCUUGCCCUUUCUCACAUAUGUGAUGAUUGGCGUUGUAGUGGUGGCUUGAUUCUCUGCAACAUCCUGACCAGAUAAUUAGAGAAAAUGGCUUUUGUAUACCAAUAGUCUGAACCUACACAUUUAACAUUUAACAUUUAAAUUAGUCAUAUUGUAUUAGUGGAGAGUAUGCUUCCUAGUCUCCAAUUGAUGUGUUAGAAGAUUGUACUGGGAUUUGUCUAGGUACUAGACAGGCUUUGUGCUUAAAUGAGUAUACAAGCGGACUUCAUUUUAGAUCUUUUCAUCUUUGCUUCACAUUUCUGGUCUAUGUUUUAUAAGACGGAUCUGAACUGUUUUUCCUCUUGGGACAGGCCUGUAAAUUUACAUCUACUGAAAUGUUGCUUGUCUUAGUUGAAGCAAGUGUAGUUGGUUUAAGUUGUUCAUUUAAUUUUUGUUAAUAAUUGUUUUUUUCUGGUUAAUUUCAUUAAUUUCUUUGUUUUUGUUGAUUUGCAGGGUUAUCAGAUUUGCGUUUGAGUCCAAGAUUUUUGUUGUGGAAUUUUAAGUGUACAUGUAAUUAUAUGAGAUUUGUAUUAGAUUUUGUUCUAAGUAUAUUAGAAUUUAGUUCUAGAAUUAUUUUUUUACUUGUAUCUCCAUUUAUUAUCAAUAAUAAUUGAAUUGAUUAAUUUGUUUGCCUUAAUAAAAGAAGUAUGGUAUUUGUAUCA